This 220-nucleotide long non-coding RNA is filed under the name Ictidomys tridecemlineatus (thirteen-lined ground squirrel). RNAcentral describes it as "lncRNA (ENSSTOG00000030844.1)". The record is from RNAcentral. Lineage: Eukaryota; Metazoa; Chordata; Mammalia; Rodentia; Sciuridae.
AAGGCCCCAGCAGGAGCUCUGAACAACUGCUCUAGCUGAUCUGCAGGGUGCCGCCUGCCACCCAUGGGCUGAAGGUCACUGCCGCUUCAGGUCACAGGCAUCCGGAUGUGCUCCUGACAUCUUAGGAUUGCUGGUUCCCUCAUCUCUCUCAUCUCUCCAGUGGCAAGUAGGGGGAUAUGAAAGAAGCAUUAUCAUCUCAUCCUUUCUCAACAGAGGGUAC